This 151-nucleotide small nuclear RNA is filed under the name Arabidopsis thaliana (thale cress). RNAcentral describes it as "U4 spliceosomal RNA". It matches the Rfam family "U4 spliceosomal RNA". From Rfam's summary of the family: U4 small nuclear RNA (U4 snRNA) is a component of the major U2-dependent spliceosome. The record is from Rfam by way of RNAcentral. Lineage: Eukaryota; Viridiplantae; Streptophyta; Magnoliopsida; Brassicales; Brassicaceae. RNAcentral also lists the same sequence under 1 other name.
AUCUUUGCGCUUGGGGCAAUGACGCAGCUAAUGAGGUUCUAACCGAGGCGCGUCUAUUGCUGGUUGAAAACUAUUUCCAAACCCCCUCCUAGGCCUAAGCUUGUCUUAGGCCUUCGAGAAUUUCUGGAAGGGCUCCCUUUGGGGUAAAGCC